RNAcentral lists this ribosomal RNA (433 nucleotides) under uncultured bacterium. RNAcentral's name for it is "partial 16S ribosomal RNA". It matches the Rfam family "Bacterial small subunit ribosomal RNA", at positions 29 to 507 of the family's 1533-position model. The record is from RNAcentral.
AACGAACGCUGGCGGCAUGCCUAACACAUGCAAGUCGAACGAGACCUUCGGGUCUAGUGGCGCACGGGUGCGUAACGCGUGGGAACCUGCCUUUAGGUUCGGAAUAACUCAGAGAAAUUUGAGCUAAUACCGGAUGAUGUCUUCGGACCAAAGAUUUAUCGCCUUUAGAUGGGCCCGCGUUGGAUUAGCUAGUUGGUGGGGUAAAGGCCUACCAAGGCGACGAUCCAUAGCUGGUCUGAGAGGAUGAUCAGCCACACUGGGACUGAGACACGGCCCAGACUCCUACGGGAGGCAGCAGUGGGGAAUAUUGGACAAUGGGCGAAAGCCUGAUCCAGCAAUGCCGCGUGAGUGAUGAAGGCCUUAGGGUUGUAAAGCUCUUUUACCCGAGAUGAUAAUGUCAGUAUCGGGAGAAUAAGCUACGGCUAACUCCGUG